UACUUAUAAAAUAUCAGCUUGUCAUAGCCUGAUACUGUCAGAUCUCAGAAGCUAAGCAGGGCCGGACCUGGUUAGUACCUGGAUGUUAGACUGCUGGGAAUACAAGGUGUCACAGUGA
Molecule: ribosomal RNA, 118 nt
Filed under: Periophthalmus magnuspinnatus
Lineage: Eukaryota; Metazoa; Chordata; Actinopteri; Gobiiformes; Gobiidae
Source: RNAcentral